RNAcentral lists this ribosomal RNA (475 nucleotides) under uncultured Rhodocyclaceae bacterium. RNAcentral's name for it is "bacterial SSU rRNA". It matches the Rfam family "Bacterial small subunit ribosomal RNA", at positions 908 to 1382 of the family's 1533-position model. Lineage: Bacteria; Pseudomonadati; Pseudomonadota; Betaproteobacteria; Rhodocyclales; Rhodocyclaceae. The record is from RNAcentral.
AAAUUGACGGGGACCCGCACAAGCGGUGGAUGAUGUGGAUUAAUUCGAUGCAACGCGAAAACCUUACCUACCCUUGACAUGUCCGGAAUCCCGAAGAGAUUUGGGAGUGCUCGCAAGAGAGCCGGAACACAGGUGCUGCAUGGCUGUCGUCAGCUCGUGUCGUGAGAUGUUGGGUUAAGUCCCGCAACGAGCGCAACCCUUGUCAUUAGUUGCCAUCAUUUGGUUGGGCACUCUAAUGAGACUGCCGGUGACAAACCGGAGGAAGGUGGGGAUGACGUCAAGUCCUCAUGGCCCUUAUGGGUAGGGCUUCACACGUCAUACAAUGGUCGGUACAGAGGGUUGCCAACCCGCGAGGGGGAGCUAAUCCCACAAAGCCGAUCGUAGUCCGGAUCGCAGUCUGCAACUCGACUGCGUGAAGUCGGAAUCGCUAGUAAUCGUGGAUCAGCAUGUCACGGUGAAUACGUUCCCGGGUCUU